AGGUCCAUAGCUCAGUGGUUAAGCAUAUGAUUUGCAUUCAAAAAGUCCCCGGUUCAACACCUGACAUCCCCAGGUGGGGCUG
Non-coding RNA from Podarcis lilfordi (Lilford's wall lizard), 82 nucleotides. Lineage: Eukaryota; Metazoa; Chordata; Lepidosauria; Squamata; Lacertidae. The record is from the annotation of a GenBank genome assembly.